UACGUAGGGGGCUAGCGUUGUCCGGAAUUAUUGGGCGUAAAGGGCUCGUAGGCGGUCUGUCACGUCGAAAGUGAAAACUCAGGGCUUAACCCUGAGCCUGCUUCCGAUACGGGCAGACUAGAGGUAUGCAGGGGAGAAUGGAAUUCCUGGUGUAGCGGUGAAAUGCGCAGAUAUCAGGAGGAACACCAGUGGCGAAGGCGGUUCUCUGGGCAUUACCUGACGCUGAGGAGCGAAAGUGUGGGGAGCGAACAGG
This 253-nucleotide ribosomal RNA is filed under the name uncultured bacterium. Its description in RNAcentral is "partial 16S ribosomal RNA". It matches the Rfam family "Bacterial small subunit ribosomal RNA", at positions 524 to 776 of the family's 1533-position model. The record is from RNAcentral.